RNAcentral lists this ribosomal RNA (467 nucleotides) under uncultured bacterium. Its description in RNAcentral is "partial 16S ribosomal RNA". It matches the Rfam family "Bacterial small subunit ribosomal RNA", at positions 29 to 507 of the family's 1533-position model. The record is from RNAcentral.
ACGAACGCUGGCGGCGUGCUUAACACAUGCAAGUCGAACGGAAAGGCCCUGCUUUUGUGGGGUGCUCGAGUGGCGAACGGGUGAGUAACACGUGAGUAACCUGCCCUUGACUUUGGGAUAACUUCAGGAAACUGGGGCUAAUACCGGAUAGGAGCUCCUGCUGCAUGGUGGGGGUUGGAAAGUUUCGGCGGUUGGGGAUGGACUCGCGGCUUAUCAGCUUGUUGGUGGGGUAGUGGCUUACCAAGGCUUUGACGGGUAGCCGGCCUGAGAGGGUGACCGGCCACAUUGGGACUGAGAUACGGCCCAGACUCCUACGGGAGGCAGCAGUGGGGAAUAUUGCACAAUGGGCGGAAGCCUGAUGCAGCAACACCGCGUGCGGGAUGACGGCCUUCGGGUUGUAAACCGCUUUCGCCUGUGACGAAGCGUGAGUGACGGUAAUGGGUAAAGAAGCACCGGCUAACUACGUG